Molecule: ribosomal RNA, 1392 nt
Filed under: Enterococcus durans
Lineage: Bacteria; Bacillati; Bacillota; Bacilli; Lactobacillales; Enterococcaceae
Description: bacterial SSU rRNA
Rfam family: Bacterial small subunit ribosomal RNA
Source: RNAcentral
GGAGCUUGCUCCACCGGAAAAAGAAGAGUGGCGAACGGGUGAGUAACACGUGGGUAACCUGCCCAUCAGAAGGGGAUAACACUUGGAAACAGGUGCUAAUACCGUAUAACAAUCGAAACCGCAUGGUUUUGAUUUGAAAGGCGCUUUCGGGUGUCGCUGAUGGAUGGACCCGCGGUGCAUUAGCUAGUUGGUGAGGUAACGGCUCACCAAGGCCACGAUGCAUAGCCGACCUGAGAGGGUGAUCGGCCACAUUGGGACUGAGACACGGCCCAAACUCCUACGGGAGGCAGCAGUAGGGAAUCUUCGGCAAUGGACGAAAGUCUGACCGAGCAACGCCGCGUGAGUGAAGAAGGUUUUCGGAUCGUAAAACUCUGUUGUUAGAGAAGAACAAGGAUGAGAGUAACUGUUCAUCCCUUGACGGUAUCUAACCAGAAAGCCACGGCUAACUACGUGCCAGCAGCCGCGGUAAUACGUAGGUGGCAAGCGUUGUCCGGAUUUAUUGGGCGUAAAGCGAGCGCAGGCGGUUUCUUAAGUCUGAUGUGAAAGCCCCCGGCUCAACCGGGGAGGGUCAUUGGAAACUGGGAGACUUGAGUGCAGAAGAGGAGAGUGGAAUUCCAUGUGUAGCGGUGAAAUGCGUAGAUAUAUGGAGGAACACCAGUGGCGAAGGCGGCUCUCUGGUCUGUAACUGACGCUGAGGCUCGAAAGCGUGGGGAGCAAACAGGAUUAGAUACCCUGGUAGUCCACGCCGUAAACGAUGAGUGCUAAGUGUUGGAGGGUUUCCGCCCUUCAGUGCUGCAGCUAACGCAUUAAGCACUCCGCCUGGGGAGUACGACCGCAAGGUUGAAACUCAAAGGAAUUGACGGGGGCCCGCACAAGCGGUGGAGCAUGUGGUUUAAUUCGAAGCAACGCGAAGAACCUUACCAGGUCUUGACAUCCUUUGACCACUCUAGAGAUAGAGCUUCCCCUUCGGGGGCAAAGUGACAGGUGGUGCAUGGUUGUCGUCAGCUCGUGUCGUGAGAUGUUGGGUUAAGUCCCGCAACGAGCGCAACCCUUAUUGUUAGUUGCCAUCAUUUAGUUGGGCACUCUAGCAAGACUGCCGGUGACAAACCGGAGGAAGGUGGGGAUGACGUCAAAUCAUCAUGCCCCUUAUGACCUGGGCUACACACGUGCUACAAUGGGAAGUACAACGAGUCGCGAAGUCGCGAGGCUAAGCUAAUCUCUUAAAGCUUCUCUCAGUUCGGAUUGUAGGCUGCAACUCGCCUACAUGAAGCCGGAAUCGCUAGUAAUCGCGGAUCAGCACGCCGCGGUGAAUACGUUCCCGGGCCUUGUACACACCGCCCGUCACACCACGAGAGUUUGUAACACCCGAAGUCGGUGAGGUACCUUUGAGCC